Bombina bombina (fire-bellied toad) is the source of this 200-nucleotide small nucleolar RNA. RefSeq annotates it as small nucleolar RNA SNORA74. The record is from RefSeq and is a predicted model, not a curated record. The transcript has a single exon. NCBI's taxonomy places the organism in Eukaryota, Metazoa, Chordata, Amphibia, Anura, Bombinatoridae.
UCCAGUGGUCGUCGGCUGUCCUGUGCUAACAGUGCCUGUGAUGGUGUUAUACUGCUGGGGUAUAGACAUUGCCGCACUAUGCUUUCUGUCAUUGACACCAUUCUGGUGUCAGUGACACUAGUAUCUGGCAAUGCUAUGCUUCUUUGAGAGUGCGCCAACAUUAGCCUUGGCUCUUUGGUGCUAGUCUGGAAGCAUACAAU